Molecule: long non-coding RNA, 267 nt
Filed under: Lathyrus oleraceus (garden pea)
Lineage: Eukaryota; Viridiplantae; Streptophyta; Magnoliopsida; Fabales; Fabaceae
Description: Pisum sativum (pea) long non-coding RNA (PSAT_LNC023689)
Source: RNAcentral
AAUAUUUUUGACGUGUUUUUGAUUAAGUUUGGAAAAAAGACUUGAUAUUGAUCAAGUGAUUUGAUUAACUGAUUUAAAUAUGUUUUUGGUUUAGAAAUGGUUGCAUUUUAUUCUUGAUUUUAUUUUGAAAAUGGAUUCGAUUGAAAUUGUGCUUAAUUGUAGGAAAUGAAUUAGUAGUUUACUUGUGAAAGAAAAAGGUUUUAAUUGAUUUUUUAAAAUAAUUAUUAAUCAAUCUAAAAUGCUAAAAUUAAAGGAAAGAUAAAAAAA